AGAACGAACGACUGGCUCCAGGCCUAACACAUGCAAGUCGAGCGCCCCGCAAGGGGAGCGGCAGACGGGAGAGUACCCCGUGGGAACGUGCCCUUCAGUUCGGAACAACCCAAGGAAACUUGGGCUGAUACCGGAUACGUCCGUAAGGAGAAAGAUUUAUCGCUGAAGGAUCGGCUCGCGUCUGAUUAGCUAGUUGGUGGGGUAAUGGCCCACCAAGGCGACGAUCAGUAGCUGGUCUGAGAGGAUGAUCAGCCACAUGGGGACUGAGACACGGCCCAGACUCCUACGGGAGGCAGCAGUGGG
Molecule: ribosomal RNA, 303 nt
Filed under: uncultured Hyphomicrobiales bacterium
Lineage: Bacteria; Pseudomonadati; Pseudomonadota; Alphaproteobacteria; Hyphomicrobiales
Description: bacterial SSU rRNA
Rfam family: Bacterial small subunit ribosomal RNA
Source: RNAcentral